UACAGAGGUCUCAAGCGUUGUUCGGAUUCAUUGGGCGUAAAGGGUGCGUAGGCGGCGCGGUAAGUCGGGUGUGAAAUCUCGGAGCUUAACUCCGAAACUGCAUUCGAUACUGCCGUACUUGAGGACUGGAGAGGAGACUGGAAUUUACGGUGUAGCGGUGAAAUGCGUAGAUAUCGUAAGGAAGACCAGUGGCGAAGGCGGGUCUCUGGACAGUUCCUGACGCUGAGGCACGAAGGCCAGGGGAGCAAACGGG
RNAcentral lists this ribosomal RNA (253 nucleotides) under uncultured bacterium. Its description in RNAcentral is "partial 16S ribosomal RNA". It matches the Rfam family "Bacterial small subunit ribosomal RNA", at positions 524 to 776 of the family's 1533-position model. The record is from RNAcentral.